AGUGGCGAACGGGUGAGUAACGCGUGGAUGAUCUACCUAAUAGUUGGGGAUAGCCAUCAGAAAUGGUGGGUAAUACCGAAUAAGCUCUGCGACUUUGGUCGUAGAGGAAAGACGCAAUUGUGUCGCUGUUAGAUGAGUCUGCGUACUAUUAGCUAGUUGGUGGGGUAAAGGCUCACCAAGGCGACGAUAGUUAGCCGGCCUGAGAGGGUGUACGGCCACAUUGGGACUGAGAUACGGCCCAG
This 242-nucleotide ribosomal RNA is filed under the name uncultured bacterium. RNAcentral's name for it is "partial 16S ribosomal RNA". It matches the Rfam family "Bacterial small subunit ribosomal RNA", at positions 94 to 334 of the family's 1533-position model. The record is from RNAcentral.